UACGGAGGGUGCAAGCGUUAUCCGGAUUCACUGGGUUUAAAGGGUGCGUAGGCGGCAUUGUAAGUCCGUGGUGAAAUCUCCAAGCUUAACUUGGAAACUGCCGUGGAUACUAUAAUUCUUGAAUAUCGCGUAGGUAAGCGGAAUAUGUCAUGUAGCGGUGAAAUGCUUAGAUAUGACAUAGAACACCAAUUGCGAAGGCAGUUUACUUCACGAUCAUUGACACUGAGGCACGAAAGCGUGGGGAGCAAACAGG
RNAcentral lists this ribosomal RNA (253 nucleotides) under uncultured bacterium. RNAcentral's name for it is "partial 16S ribosomal RNA". It matches the Rfam family "Bacterial small subunit ribosomal RNA", at positions 524 to 776 of the family's 1533-position model. The record is from RNAcentral.